Molecule: small nucleolar RNA, 48 nt
Filed under: Pyrobaculum aerophilum str. IM2
Lineage: Archaea; Thermoproteati; Thermoproteota; Thermoprotei; Thermoproteales; Thermoproteaceae
Description: PAEsR21
Source: RNAcentral
GUGAUGAGCCGCCAGUGUCCGAAAAUUGACGAGCUCACCCUUUGCUGA